UGACGAGUUUGAUCCUGGCUCAGAUUGAACGCUGGCGGCAUGCUUUACACAUGCAAGUCGAACGGUAACAGGUUAAGCUGACGAGUGGCGAACGGGUGAGUAAUGCAUCGGAACGUGCCCGAUCGUGGGGGAUAACGCAGCGAAAGCUGCGCUAAUACCGCAUAAGAUCUGAGGAUGAAAGCGGGGGACUUUGCAGCAAUGCAAAGCCUCGCGCGAUCGGAGCGGCCGAUGUCAGAUUAGGUAGUUGGUGGGGUAAAGGCUCACCAAGCCGACGAUCUGUAGCUGGUCUGAGAGGACGACCAGCCACGACUGGGGACUGAGACCACGGCCCAGACUCCGUACGGGAGCAGCAGUGGGGGAAUAUUGGGCAA
This 371-nucleotide ribosomal RNA is filed under the name uncultured Hydrogenophaga sp. RNAcentral's name for it is "bacterial SSU rRNA". It matches the Rfam family "Bacterial small subunit ribosomal RNA", at positions 1 to 371 of the family's 1533-position model. The record is from RNAcentral. Lineage: Bacteria; Pseudomonadati; Pseudomonadota; Betaproteobacteria; Burkholderiales; Comamonadaceae.